GCUCAGGACCGGUUCAGAAAAUCGUCACUGGCGGUGUUGGCCACGAGCGGGAAUGGAACUCGGCUGGUGGGGUCACUGCCGUUCCCCUUCUGUCAACAAACUUGCACUCUGACCCCGCUCUCUGACGUCACCGCUCAGCGUGACCUCAUCGGCGUCAAACGCAAGGGGGAGGUGUGCUUCGCUCAUGACGUCAUGUCACAACGGUAUUCUCCCCACCCCCGACCACGGCGCUCGUGAGCGUGACGUCACGUCCGCUUGGACGCUGCCGAUUUCUGUUCCAUUGCCAAUCCUUAUUUGGGCAAAGCUACGACCAGUGACUGGCGGCUCAUUAACAUAAUGUCUUCGUGAAAGCCGUCGCGAGUUUUUUUGUGACAGGUUCGGCACCCACGCCCCUUCCCUCCACGAAUGGGCCAGGUUCCUUAACAUAAUUUAUUUAAGUUACGGAGCCAAUCGUCGAGUGUUAUAGUACCUACAAGUGACAUCAUGUCACCUCCUGCUGCCGCGUGACGUCGCGACGUAACAGGAAGUUGCCGCUCAGACCGUGCACUGAAAUCCGAGGCCCAGCCCGCUUGAGCUGCUAUAACGCUCUUGUUUUCAGAAGCGACCUGCACACAACACAAGCUGUCACUUCCUCUGCAGAAUUGGUCUGAUGGAGCUAAGGCACUCGGCGCGGCUCGGUACAAAAAGGCAACAAUGCGACCGCCGUGCGUACAGCACGGAUUGUCCUGGACAUUUGACGCAGCACCAGAGAACUCAUACGGGAGAGAAACUCUUCAAGUGCAGUGUGUGUGGGAAGGCGUUAGUACAUUCAUCUUCUCUUGUAAAACACCAGAGAACACACACGGGAGAGAAACCCUUCAA
Petromyzon marinus (sea lamprey) is the source of this 861-nucleotide non-coding RNA. The record is from RefSeq and is a predicted model, not a curated record. NCBI's taxonomy places the organism in Eukaryota, Metazoa, Chordata, Hyperoartia, Petromyzontiformes, Petromyzontidae.